GCUGUGGUGGGUGUGUUGAGGUUAGGUGUGGUGAUGUUUGGUGAGGUGUGGUGUGGUGAGGUGAGGUGUGGUGAGGUGCUGUGUGGUGUGGUGAGGUGUGGUAAGGUGUGAUGUGGUGAGGUGAGGUGUGAUGUGGUCAGGUGAGAUGAGUUGAGGUGUGGUGUGGUGAGGUGAGGUAUGGUGAGGUGAGAUGAGGUAAAAGGUGUGGUGAGGUGUGUUGAGAUGAGUUGAGGUGUGGUGAGAUGAGUUGAGGUGUGGUGUGGUAAAGUGAGGUGCGGUAAGGUGUGGUGAGGUAAGGUGAGCUGUGGUGCGGUGUGUUGAGGUUAGGUGUGGUGAUGUUUGGUGAGGUGUGGUGUGGUGAGGUGAGG
Oncorhynchus tshawytscha (Chinook salmon) is the source of this 368-nucleotide long non-coding RNA. NCBI's taxonomy places the organism in Eukaryota, Metazoa, Chordata, Actinopteri, Salmoniformes, Salmonidae. The record is from Ensembl.